UAAGUCCCGCAACGAGCGCAACCCUUAUCCUUUGUUGCCAGCGGUCCGGCCGGGAACUCAAAGGAGACUGCCAGUGAUAAACUGGAGGAAGGUGGGGAUGACGUCAAGUCAUCAUGGCCCUUACGACCAGGGCUACACACGUGCUACAAUGGCGCAUACAAAGAGAAGCGACCUCGCGAGAGCAAGCGGACCUCAUAAAGUGCGUCGUAGUCCGGAUUGGAGUCUGCAACUCGACUCCAUGAAGUCGGAAUCGCUAGUAAUCGUGGAUCAGAAUGCCACGGUGAAUACGUUCCCGGGCCUUGUACACACCGCCCGUCACACCAUGGGAGUGGGUUGCAAAAGAAGUAGGUAGCUUAACCUUCGGGAGGGCGCUUACCACUUUGUGAUUCAUGACUGGGGUGAAGUCGUAACAAGGUAACCGUAGGGGAACCUGCGGUUGGAUCACCUCCUU
RNAcentral lists this ribosomal RNA (451 nucleotides) under Escherichia coli. RNAcentral describes it as "bacterial SSU rRNA". It matches the Rfam family "Bacterial small subunit ribosomal RNA", at positions 1081 to 1532 of the family's 1533-position model. The record is from RNAcentral. Lineage: Bacteria; Pseudomonadati; Pseudomonadota; Gammaproteobacteria; Enterobacterales; Enterobacteriaceae.